UGUGGGAUCUGGGAUGAUUAUUUUGUCUCUUUGUCGCAAAUGUUGGAGACUCCCGGGAUGAUUAUUUUGUUAUUAAUAGACCUUUCUUAAGGACGUGGUAUGGAUGGAUGAAGGCAUAGAACAGGCGCAUCCCAGCCUUCUCUUACCCAAAUUUGUGAGGCAAGCAUCCUUCCAUCGUUUUAUGGAUUGAAGAAGGCGCACAAUGAGAUCGGUCCACCCUUCUCUUACCCGGAUCAGCCAAAGGAGCAUCCUUCCAUGACAACGGCCAAAUCAUGUACCGAUGUACGAACAAAGAAUGCUCUGAUUACAG
Molecule: long non-coding RNA, 310 nt
Organism: Lolium rigidum
Lineage: Eukaryota; Viridiplantae; Streptophyta; Magnoliopsida; Poales; Poaceae
Exons: 3
Source: RefSeq, a predicted model, not a curated record